UGAGAGUUUGAUCCUGGCUCAGGAUAAACGCUGGCGGCGUGCCUUAGGCAUGCAAGUCAAACGGUCCCGCCGUAAGGCGGGAAAGUGGCGGACGGGUGAGUAAUGCAUAGGAACGUACCCUAAAGUGAAGGACAUCUCGUCGAAAGACGGGGUAAUCCUGCAUAGUCUCGUUCUUCGAACGAGAAGCUCAAAAGUCAAAAGUCAAAAGUCAAAAAUGGAAAGGUAAUAAUUAAUAAAUAAAAAUUUUACCUUUUUCACUUUGAUCUUUGAACUUUGAUCUUUGAACUUACUCGUCCGGAGAACGAGUAAAGGGAUUAACUUCCCGCUUUUGGAGCGGCCUAUGUUCUAUCAGCUAGUUGGUGGGGUAAUGGCCUACCAAGGCUACGACGGAUAGCUGGAGUGAGAGCUUGACCAGCCACAAUGGCACUGAGAUACGGGCCAUACACCUACGGGUGGCAGCAACCGGGAAUAGUCGGCAAUGGACGAAAGUCUGACCGCGCGACGCCGCGUGAGGGAUGAAGUCUUUCGGGAUGUAAACCUCUUUUACCAGGGAAAAGCAAGGAUGGUACCUGGUGAAUAAGCAUCUACUAACUACGUGCCAGCAGUCGCGGUAAUACGUAGGAUGCAAGCGUUAUCCGAAUUUACUGGGCGUAAAGGGUCGCGUAGGCGUCCCAUCGCAUCUUGUUUUAAAGACCGGGGCUUAACCCCGGAAUUGGGCAAGAGAUGGAUGGGAUUGAAGGUUGGUGGGGUUUCCGGAACUUGCGGUGUAGCAGUGAAAUGCGUUGAUAUCGCAAGGAACACCAAGAGCGAAGGCAGGAAACCAACCAACUCUUGACGCUGAGGCACGAAAGCUAAGGGAGCGAAGCAGAUUAGAGACCUGCGUAGUCUUAGCUGUAAACGCAUGGGUGCUAGAUGGUCCAGCCUAGCUGGACUGUCGUAAGUUAACACGUUAAGCACCUCGCCUGGGGAGUACGAUCGCAAGAUUAAAACUCAAAGG
Molecule: ribosomal RNA, 997 nt
Filed under: Candidatus Gottesmanbacteria bacterium GW2011_GWC2_39_8
Lineage: Bacteria; Candidatus Gottesmaniibacteriota
Description: bacterial SSU rRNA
Rfam family: Bacterial small subunit ribosomal RNA
Source: RNAcentral